UCUGGUGUAUCUGUGGGGAGGAAGGUGAUCUCCGCGUCUUACUCUUCCGCCAUCUUCAAGGUCCCCCCAUCUUAUUUUUACAUAUAAUGAUAAAUCUGAAUUUUCUCUAUCAAAGUUCCGAGACUUCACUGGCUUGUAACUUAGCUUGUUGAUUAUGUGUUGUUGACUUUUCCAUUUACAAUGAUAUUUGAUCCUGAUAAGGAUGGGGCUGGGUGGGAAGGUACAUCUUAGGGCCAUAAAUUGGUUUUGUAGAGAACUAACAUAAAGAUCUAAAGUCUCAUCAUAUUUCUGCAGAACUCAUGAAUCAUUUUAUUAUAAUUCCAUUCAUUCAGGGAGUAUAAAACCAUUUUCAAAUUGUUAUUGCUAAUUUGUUCAUCUUCUCUUCCUUAGUCUUAGUGAGAAGAGAGCAGGCUGAAUGGAAGAAAGUCAUUAUGACCACUGAGGCCACUAGGGGGUGUCCAGAGAAGGUAACUACUUUGCCCAUGUCCUAAACUGCCUAGCCCUGUGGUCUUGGGGUAAUCACUAACCUGCUUAGAUACAAUUUUCUUCUCUAUGAAAUAGAAACAAUAUUAUAUGCUUUGAAGGACUGCAGGAAGAUGAGCUGUAAUGUUUAUCAAGUGCCUAGUAAGUAGCCUGGCCCAUAAUAAAUACUUGGCUAAUUGUAGAUGUUAGUUUCAUUUUUAGUUUUAUUUCCAAACAUUGCUCUUUACUUUUGGAACUCUAAAAUUUGUUUUGAGAGUGGAGGACUUGUUGUUUGGAUUCCUCCAACACUCUCUGUAUAUUCUGUACUUCUAUCCCUACAUCAUUUAUAUUAAUGGAAUAAAUGAUCUUUGGUGUGGUGAUUCCAAGGUGACGAGGAGCUAAGUGGAGGUUCCGUAUACACCUGGAAGUAUGGAUUUUCAUGCCCAGUGCAAAUGUGGGAAAGGCAUUAUUCCUACAUUAUAAAUGGGGUAAAGACCUCCAACUUGAGGAGACUCUGGGUUGAGAGAUGAGAGAUCCUACAGGGUGCCACAGGGGCUUUUAUGUUCUGUAGCAAGACUUUGCACCUUAUACCCUUGUAGUUAGAAGUAAAGCAUACCACAUAACUAAUAUCUAGUAAGCAUUAGAGUUAGAAUAGCUACCAUUUAGUUAACGUUUCCUUUGUGUUAAGCAUUUUACAGUUACAACAUAUGGAUGGAUACUAUAUUGUAAUGGUUAAGAGUGUAGUUUUUUGAGCUAGAUAAUCCUGGAUUGGAAUCUCAUCUUUAUUACCUCUUUUUUUCCUGUUUUAUUGAGGUAUAAUUGACAAAAUUGUGAGAUAGUCAAAGAGUAUAUCAUGAUGAUUUGAUAUACAUAUGCAUUGCAAAAGGAUCCUUCCCAUCACGUUAAUUAAUACAUCUAACAGCUCAUGACACCUUUUUCCUUUUUUUCUUUUUUUGGUGAGAACACUUAAGUUCUAUUCUCUCAGAAAAUGUUAGUUAUACAAUACAGUAUUAUUGACUGUAGUAACUAUGUUAUACAGUAGAUCCUCAGACCUUAUUCAUCCUGCAG
Long non-coding RNA from Aethalodelphis obliquidens (Pacific white-sided dolphin), 1530 nucleotides. RefSeq lists it as uncharacterized. Lineage: Eukaryota; Metazoa; Chordata; Mammalia; Artiodactyla; Delphinidae. The transcript has 3 exons. The record is from RefSeq and is a predicted model, not a curated record.